CAGUCGCCACGGGAAUACGAAGGGGGCUAGCGUUGCUCGGAAUUACUGGGCGUAAAGCGCACGUAGGCGGAUAUUUAAGUCAGGGGUGAAAUCCCGCAGCUCAACUGCGGAACUGCCUUUGAUACUGGGUAUCUUGAGUAUGGAAGAGGUUAGUGGAAUUGCGAGUGUAGAGGUGAAAUUCGUAGAUAUUCGCAGGAACACCAGUGGCGAAGGCGGCUAACUGGUCCAUAACUGACGCUGAGGUGCGAAAGCGUGGGGAGCAAACAGGAUUAGAUACCCCCGUAGUCCCUGUCUCUUAUAC
Molecule: ribosomal RNA, 301 nt
Filed under: uncultured bacterium
Lineage: Bacteria
Description: partial 16S ribosomal RNA
Rfam family: Bacterial small subunit ribosomal RNA
Source: RNAcentral